This is a long non-coding RNA of Octopus sinensis (East Asian common octopus), 170 nucleotides long. RefSeq lists it as uncharacterized. Lineage: Eukaryota; Metazoa; Mollusca; Cephalopoda; Octopoda; Octopodidae. The transcript has 3 exons. The record is from RefSeq and is a predicted model, not a curated record.
GUGAAGGUACAUGGCUCAAUGGUUAGAGCAUUAUGCUCACAAUCAUGACAUAGUGAGUUUGAUUCCCAGACCAGGCUGUGUUGUGUUCUUGAGCAAGACACUUUAUUUCAUGUUGCCCCAGUUCACUCAGCUGUAGAAAUGAGUUGUAAUAUCACUGGUACCAAGCUGUA